AAUGACUUUCUUCGUGCGAUUCAUCACUUUCCUUAGUUUUCCCCACUUUCGCGCAACUCAUCUCCUCUCUUCUUUCGUCACCAUUGUCGGUGAGCAUAGCUUCUCGUCAUCACCGGCCUCUUCAUAAUAAUUGGUUUGUAUAUCCUUCUUUUUCUUUCUCUCAUUAAACCCUAACAUUUAUAUUUUUUUUUUCCCCUUUGCCUUAUAUUUUCUCUUACAGUAAUAUGACUGGUAUGAAUCUUGAAGGGGUUUGACUCUAGAUCUGUAGUGAUUGAGCUCUGAGACUUUUUAGAUGGGUCAACAAGUACAGGAAUUAAAAGAAUGAAGCUUAAGCUUGAAACGCCCAUUGCAAUUGUAGAGCAACUGUUUUCUACUUGUCAGAAGCUUAUGAAAGAAAAGUGCCAGCAUGCCAUGUAGAACUUGAUGUCAAUAAAUGAACAAGUUGAUAGUGUGAAAGAGUAUGCAAUGAAGACAGAAAGUGUUAGCGUUUCGUGGAAGAGACAAACUUUAUCACUAAUUCACUAGUGACAGCACAAGAUGCGUCGACAAUACUGCGAUGCGGACAAAAGAGCAUCAUCUUCCUGAUAAACAAUGGUUGAUACACCAUAGAAGUCGAAAUCCAUGAUGGGCCUUACAAUGUGAUCAAGAACUGGAACUACAUUGGCUUGGUUGAUGCAAUCCACAAUGGUGAAGGCAAGUGUUGGACAACUAAGGUGUGAUGUGAAUAAGAGCUCACUGAAGCAAUUAAGACAGCCACGGGUGCAAAGAAAGAUUGCUUGUGCUUCAUAGAAGUGAUAGUCCACAAGGAUGACACUAGCACAGAGCUGCUUGAAUGGCGAUCAAGAGUCUCUGCAGCCAACAGCAGCCCUCCAAACCUUCAGUAAUAAGUUUUUUACGGAAUACGACAUAGUUGUUUGAUAAAAGGAUGAGACUCAUAUCCUUUGACUCACAUUUACAUUUCAUUAUGUGAAGAUUUUGUGUGUACUAGAUUUGUUAAAUUAGUCUCCACUGCUGUGAAGUGGGAUUGAAUUAGUUGCUGGGUAAAGUGGACCAGCAUAUUUGUGCUACAUUGAGGGAAUACUAAGUUAUUUGUUUUGAGCCACUAGAUUUGUAAGUAUUGCUGAUUUUGUGUAUGUAUUUUCUAUUGGUUCUCAAUAUCUACUGAAAAAUUAUUGAUC
Camellia sinensis is the source of this 1178-nucleotide non-coding RNA. The record is from RefSeq and is a predicted model, not a curated record. NCBI's taxonomy places the organism in Eukaryota, Viridiplantae, Streptophyta, Magnoliopsida, Ericales, Theaceae.